UCGAACGCACAGCGAAAGGUGCUUGCACCUUUCAAGUGAGUGGCGAACGGGUGAGUAACACGUGGAUAACCUACCUCAAGGUUGGGGAUAACAUUUGGAAACAGAUGCUAAUACCGAAUAAAACUUCGUAUCGCAUGAUACAAGGUUAAAAGGCGCUACGGCGUCACCUAGAGAUGGAUCCGCGGUGCAUUAGUUAGUUGGUGGGGUAAAGGCCUACCAAGACAAUGAUGCAUAGCCGAGUUGAGAGACUGAUCGGCCACAUUGGGACUGAGACACGGCCCAAACUCCUACGGGAGGCUGCAGUAGGGAAUCUUCCACAAUGGGCGAAAGCCUGAUGGAGCAACGCCGCGUGUGUGAUGAAGGCUUUCGGGUCGUAAAGCACUGUUGUAUGGGAAGAACAGCUAGAGUAGGGAAUGACUUUAGUUUGACGGUACCAUACCAGAAAGGGACGGCUAAAUACGUGCCAGCAGCCGCGGUAAUACGUAUGUCCCGAGCGUUAUCCGGAUUUAUUGGGCGUAAAGCGAGCGCAGACGGUUGAUUAAGUCUGAUGUGAAAGCCCGGAGCUCAACUCCGGAAAGGCAUUGGAAACUGGUCAACUUGAGUGCAGUAGAGGUAAGUGGAACUCCAUGUGUACGCGGUGGAAUGCGUAGAUAUAUGGAAGAACACCAGCGGCGAAGGCGGCUUACUGGACUGUAACUGACCGUGAGGCUCGAAA
Molecule: ribosomal RNA, 715 nt
Filed under: uncultured bacterium
Lineage: Bacteria
Description: bacterial SSU rRNA
Rfam family: Bacterial small subunit ribosomal RNA
Source: RNAcentral